AAAAUAAAAAAAAUUUUAAAAAAAGAAACAAAAAAAAAAAAAAAAAAAAACCUAAAUGUUGGGGUCACAUCAAAAGGAUCAGGAGCCAGACUGCAGGGUAAAAUUGUCACAAUUUGUGCGUCUAAAAUAAUAGUGACGUUAAAAAUUACAAACAUAGCGAGUCAAUUAAAAUUCAUAAUUAUAGAAUGAUACUUGAAGAGAAAUCUAGAAAAAUAAACUAUUCAAAGUCAUUGGUAAAACACUUCUUUUCUUUCAAAUUGUAUUAAAAUAUGUUUAAGUAUGUAUUUUUCUUUCCUUUUGUUUCCACACUUUACAGUAACUGAACAAGGAUACUUUAUAUGGGAAAAGCUCCACUUUAAGAAAUAUUUCAGGAGAAUAUUGCUGAAUUUAUUGGUAGAAUUAGAAAGACAUUAUUGUUCUACAACUGUUAAUAAAAUUAACUUAUACCAUGAUUAUCAAUUGAAGUGAAAACAAUUACAUGUCUAGUGUCAAAGUAAUGCCACA
RNAcentral lists this long non-coding RNA (504 nucleotides) under Homo sapiens (human). Its description in RNAcentral is "HSALNT0294443". Lineage: Eukaryota; Metazoa; Chordata; Mammalia; Primates; Hominidae. The record is from RNAcentral.